RNAcentral lists this ribosomal RNA (371 nucleotides) under uncultured bacterium. Its description in RNAcentral is "bacterial SSU rRNA". It matches the Rfam family "Bacterial small subunit ribosomal RNA", at positions 434 to 793 of the family's 1533-position model. The record is from RNAcentral.
CAGCAGUGAGGAAGGUGGGUAUGUUAAUAGCAUACUCAUUUGACGUUAGCUGCAGAAGAAGCACCGGCUAACUCCGUGCCAGCAGCCGCGGUAAUACGGAGGGUGCAAGCGUUAAUCGGAAUUACUGGGCGUAAAAGCGCAUGCAGGUGGUUUUGUUAAGUCAGAUGUGAAAGCCCGGGGCUCAACCUCGGAAAUUGCAUUUGAAACUGGCAAACUAGAGUACUGUAGAGGGGGGUAGAAUUUCAGGUGUAGCGGUGAAAAUGCGUAGAGAUCUGAAGGAAUACCGGUGGCGAAGGCGGCCCCCUGGACAGAUACUGACACUCAGAUGCGAAAAGCGUGGGGAGCAAAACAGGAUUAGAUACCCCUGGUAG